Molecule: ribosomal RNA, 161 nt
Filed under: Bryum argenteum
Lineage: Eukaryota; Viridiplantae; Streptophyta; Bryopsida; Bryales; Bryaceae
Description: 5.8S ribosomal RNA
Rfam family: 5.8S ribosomal RNA
About the family: 5.8S ribosomal RNA (5.8S rRNA) is a component of the large subunit of the eukaryotic ribosome. It is transcribed by RNA polymerase I as part of the 45S precursor that also contains 18S and 28S rRNA.
Source: RNAcentral
UAGAACAACUCUCAGCAACGGAUAUCUUGGCUCUUGCAACGAUGAAGAACGCAGCGAAAUGCGAUACGUAGUGUGAAUUGCAGAAUUCCGCGAAUCAUCGAGUUUUUGAACGCAAGUUGCGNNCGAGGNUUGNCCNAGGGCAUUUCCGCUAGAGCGUCACC